Long non-coding RNA from Danio aesculapii, 626 nucleotides. RefSeq lists it as uncharacterized. NCBI's taxonomy places the organism in Eukaryota, Metazoa, Chordata, Actinopteri, Cypriniformes, Danionidae. The transcript has 3 exons. The record is from RefSeq and is a predicted model, not a curated record.
AGGACCCGGGGGAAAACCCACACGAGCACGAGGAGAACAUGAACUCCGCACAGAAAUGCCGACUGGGUAGCUGGGUGGAGACCCGAACCAGAGGCAUUCUUGCUGUGAGGCCGCAGUGCUAGCCACUGGGCCGCCGUGCUGCCCUAUAGAUAAAGACAGGAGGAGAGGGGGGGUCCUUCAAGACAAAGAUGACUGAAGAAAAGAGGGCACUGAACCAUUUCUCUUGUCCCCCAUAUCGGAAGGCUUGCAGAUAAACAGAUGGAAGAAAGGAAUGAAAAAUAAUAGUUGACUUCUCAUGUGGAAGGUCUCAGCACAUACCUCUAAGCCUCCAAAUGCCCGACUCCCACUUGUAUCCGGGGAUUUGAGUUCAUAUGUGACAUCUUUGCACGAAGCACGCUGUGGCAGGAGGCCAGCAAGACCAGCAAACAGAAGGGCACAGGAAGGAAGAAGGGAGCAUGUUAUCGCAUCUGCAGGAAGCGGCCCGGCUCUCAGCAAAGAUGCCAAUAUCAAUCGGGUUUACCCAGCACUCAUAUCUCGUAAAAUGCAAAUGCCGUUCCUCUGAGCCGUGAACCUUAAUUAGAGCAGAAUUACGCAAAUCAAAUAUUGUUUUAUAUAUUACGGCGUGA